Molecule: ribosomal RNA, 450 nt
Filed under: uncultured bacterium
Lineage: Bacteria
Description: bacterial SSU rRNA
Rfam family: Bacterial small subunit ribosomal RNA
Source: RNAcentral
GUGGGGAAUUUUGGACAAUGGGGGCAACCCUGAUCCAGCCAUGCCGCGUGAGUGAAGAAGGCCUUCGGGUUGUAAAGCUCUUUCGGACAGAAAGAAAUCGUGCAGAUUAAUACUCUGUAUGGAUGACGGUACUGUAAGAAGAAGCACCGGCUAACUACGUGCCAGCAGCCGCGGUAAUACGUAGGGUGCGAGCGUUAAUCGGAAUUACUGGGCGUAAAGCGUGCGCAGGCGGUUUUGUAAGACAGACGUGAAAUCCCCGGGCUUAACCUGGGAACUGCGUUUGUGACUGCAAGGCUAGAGUGCGGCAGAGGGGGGUAGAAUUCCACGUGUAGCAGUGAAAUGCGUAGAUAUGUGGAGGAAUACCGAUGGCGAAGGCAGCCCCCUGGGUCGACACUGACGCUCAUGCACGAAAGCGUGGGGAGCAAACAGGAUUAGAUACCCGGGUAGUCC